Molecule: unclassified non-coding RNA, 2092 nt
Organism: Vigna unguiculata (cowpea)
Lineage: Eukaryota; Viridiplantae; Streptophyta; Magnoliopsida; Fabales; Fabaceae
Source: RefSeq, a predicted model, not a curated record
UGCAAGUGAGGCAUCAGAAUUUCAGAAAGAACAACACCGUCCCCUCUCGUCUCAAGAACAACACUCUCAUUCUCCUCUGUCUUUCUUCUCCUUCACAGCCAGCCACCAGCCACCGUCCACCGCGAAACUCGACGGCGACGAACGCAACGCAGCCACCAAAGCACGACGGCGUCCAGUCGACGGCGAUUCCGACGAAGGGCGACCACCACGAACAGUUGAAGUUGUUGCCGUGAUUGAUUGGCGUUGGCUGCUGCUGUAACUGCUGUUGAUAGCUGCUGCCGUAAUCGGCUUCUUUGGAGGUUGAACAAACAGCUGUCAGAAAACAAUCUGCGGCUGAUGUGUAGUUUUUAGUUAACUAUGUUACAAUUUGAUUCUUUCUGAACCAGUGUAUUCUGAGAGGAGCACAAGGACCUGCUCCGUACUAAGGAGGAAGUGUGAGAAUAAGAUGAAAUAAGUUACUGCAGAAGAUGGCGCCGAGGCAAAUGGAAGAGAUUUGGAAGAAAUUGGCAGACCUAAAUUAUCCUAGAGCGAAUGCUCCUGCACAGUCGCUCCUAUUUGCUGGCAUGGAGCGUUAUGCCCUUCUGGAGUGGCUCUUCUUUCGGGAUCCUAUUUUUUGUUUUGCUUCUGUGAGUCCAUUUAUCUGUUAUGUAUUUGAGGAAGUUUUUCUGCCCGAAAACAAGUUGGUAGAAACUGGAGUUGCUGGGUCUUAGACUGAGUACUUGUCAUUUAUACAACCAUCAUUAUGACUUUACAUGGGUUUACUUAUGCUAUAUUGGAACCCCGUUGCAUAUUGACACAAAAGUUAGGCGUAGUAGCGUGUCCCGUAUGCGUAGUUUUAAAUGAUUAGUUGUGGGUUCUAAUAUGCAUUUACUGUGCUUGUGGACUUAGUGCACAUUCUUAAAUAAGUUUUGGGAAAUUUUAGGCUGGCUGUCUAAAUCCAUUCAGAGGUGCAAAUAGUUUCCCACUCCCCGUUUUUUUUCCAGGCUCUACAUGUAUUGCUUGAAAGGGUUCUGAUUAGCUAAUAGCUACGCAUUCACACCAUCUACCUAGCACAAAUGAAGUUAAAAAAACAAAACCUUUACCUUUCUGUAUGUCCAAUACUACUAUUUCUAUUUUCUGCCCUCUUCCUGCAAUACUUAACCCUAGCGAUUCCAACAUUGUCUGGUUUUUGCCUACGUGCAGCACUGCUAAGUACAUUUUAAGUAUUCCUGUCAAUGUUAAGAAGAAAUGUUUUGGUACUUAUGCUUACAACAGGCUUUUAGGUGAUAAGUCACCCUUUUCUCAACAAAACUUACAAGGGGAUAGUCUUGAUGGUGAUGAAGAGACAAGUCGAAUUCAGUAUUUAGCAGAGAUUGCCAAGUUUUUGGGUAUUACGACAACUGUAGAUACAGAAGCCAUUCAGUAAUAUUCAUACAUCAAUGAGGAUCGAACUCAAGACAUUGUUGCAAGACUAUGAUACCAUUAUUACGAAAAGGUUAACACAAAAUUCUCUAACAAACAUCCCUCCUGUAGAAAUUGGCACAAACAUCCUUCUUGUAGAGAUUGCCACCUGACAACAUGGUGAAUUUGGAACUCGUGACAUUGGAAUCGUUGCAAGGCUAUGAUACUAUUGCUACGUAAAGUUAGCCCGUUCAUUAUGGACACAAAAUUCCUUAACAAUUCAACCUCCUUAAGGCUCACCCGAGUAAAGUUUCCCAAUUUAUGAAACGUGUUUUUGGGCAACCUACGGAAUCUUCGAGAUUCACAUGCAGCUCUUGCUUUUGGUUCUUCUGAGACAUCUGAUGGGCCUUCCUCUGUUACACGAAUAAUAUCUGAAUGUGAAUCUGCAUUGACAGUCUUAAAUCGCGAUCUUGGAAUUCUCUCUGCUUCCAUUGCUCGUGAACAGGGAGAGAAGAUGAACAUUUGAUGAAACAUGAAAAACUGGUUACUAAUCCUUAUUCUUUUGAUUUUGCGAACUUGUGCAUAAUGUUCAUAUUGUUGACAUGACAUUGUUGCAUUAUCCAGACAUAUUUAGAAAUUGCAUGUAAGCCAGGCUUAGACUUGACCUUGUAAACAAAGAAGAGAAUACUUAAUACACAAAUCAUUAAAAAAA